Long non-coding RNA from Oreochromis aureus, 956 nucleotides. RefSeq lists it as uncharacterized. The transcript is spliced from 3 exons. The record is from RefSeq and is a predicted model, not a curated record. Lineage: Eukaryota; Metazoa; Chordata; Actinopteri; Cichliformes; Cichlidae.
GUGGAGGCUGACCAUGUAGUCAGUGUCAGAGGUUGACCAUCUCCUUGGUCCUCCUAAUGACCUGCGUGUGUCUGAUGUAUACCUCGAUCAUGGCUAACCAGCAUAUCAGUCGCCAUGACCUGUUGAAGAGGGACCUGAAAAGUGCUUCAGUAAGGUCUCCUAGCAGCCUGCAGUGUUCGCCAAAUGUGUUGGCUCAAAAAACUCCUGGCAGUGAAAUAGGACUAUAUUUUGAGGGAACUGAGCCAACUUCUUUCAGUGUUUUGGACCCAUUGAGAAGGUGUUGGCAGAUUCCACAGGCUAUUCCUAAUCAUUACUAUGUGAUGCUGUCAGGAGCCAAACAAGAUAUCACUCUCCAGCCAUCCCCCCCCAACCCCCUCGACAGGGAGUCACAACACAACGUUGAGGAACUGGAAUAAAAGAAUAAAGACAAAGCCACCGGGGUCCUGCAUGGCUCUCUGGGUGCAGAUAAUGGCGCCAUGCUGUGUGUCUUGAUGAAGUUCAGGACCUUAUUAAAGAGAAUUUGCUCACAUGUGUAAAUGCAGGCACACUCACAAAAAGAAAAAGCGCCUCAUGAUCCCGAGAUGAGAGCACGGAGCUUUCUAACCUUUCUCCGCACGAUUCUGCAAUCGCGCAUUUCCAAUUUUGCCAAUAUCAGCGACAACAACUUUACCGCUUAUCUUGGUUUCCUUCUGUGUCACUGAAUAUUUUAUUCAGAUCAAAUAACUCGCCUGCUCUUUGUUUUUCGGGUAACAUCAUAUAAACGCGACAACUUCUGAUGGUUAACGGUUACGGUCUGUCUUUGUCGCUUAAAUAAACCUGGUGGGGGGGUGUGACCAUUACAUUUGCCCGCACUAUGAAUCAAUGUGUUUAGUCCUCUGAGUCAUGUUAUAGCAGCAGUCUUACACAACAAAAAACAGCCUUAUACAUAAAAGGCACAAGGGAUUUGUACUUUAAUA